GGAGGAAUGGCCGAGCGGUCGAAGGCGGCGGUCUUGAAAACCGCAGUUGGGGAAACUCAACCGGGGGUUCGAAUCCCUCUUCCUCCGCCA
RNAcentral lists this transfer RNA (90 nucleotides) under Acidobacteriota bacterium. Its description in RNAcentral is "Acidobacteria bacterium (hot springs metagenome) tRNA-Ser". It matches the Rfam family "tRNA". Rfam says of the family: Transfer RNA (tRNA) molecules are approximately 80 nucleotides in length. Their secondary structure includes four short double-helical elements and three loops (D, anti-codon, and T loops). Further hydrogen bonds mediate the characteristic L-shaped molecular structure. tRNAs have two regions of fundamental functional importance: the anti-codon, which is responsible for specific mRNA codon recognition, and the 3' end, to which the tRNAs corresponding amino acid is attached (by aminoacyl-tRNA synthetases). tRNAs cope with the degeneracy of the genetic code in two manners: having more than one tRNA (with a specific anti-codon) for a particular amino acid; and 'wobble' base-pairing, i.e. permitting non-standard base-pairing at the 3rd anti-codon position. Lineage: Bacteria; Pseudomonadati; Acidobacteriota. The record is from RNAcentral. RNAcentral also lists the same sequence under 1 other name.